This 253-nucleotide ribosomal RNA is filed under the name uncultured bacterium. RNAcentral describes it as "partial 16S ribosomal RNA". It matches the Rfam family "Bacterial small subunit ribosomal RNA", at positions 524 to 776 of the family's 1533-position model. The record is from RNAcentral.
UACGUAGGGUGCAAGCGUUAAUCGGAAUUACUGGGCGUAAAGCGUCCGCAGGCGGUUAUGUAAGACAGAUGUGAAAUCCCAGGGCUCAACCUUGGAACUGCAUUUGUGACUGCAUAGCUAGAGUACGGCAGAGGGGGAUGGAACUCCGCGUGUAGCAGUGAAAUGCGUAGAUAUGCGGAAGAACACCGAUGGCGAAGGCAAUCCCCUGGGCCUGUACUGACGCUCAUGGACGAAAGCGUGGGGAGCAAACAGG